RNAcentral lists this ribosomal RNA (514 nucleotides) under uncultured bacterium. Its description in RNAcentral is "bacterial SSU rRNA". It matches the Rfam family "Bacterial small subunit ribosomal RNA", at positions 28 to 590 of the family's 1533-position model. The record is from RNAcentral.
AACGAACGCUGGCGGCAUGCCUACCACAUGCAAGUCGAACGAGACCUUCGGGUCUAGUGGCGCACGGGUGCGUAACGCGUGGGAACCUGCCCUUAGGUUCGGAAUAACUCCCCGAAAGGGCUGCUAAUACCGGAUAAUGUCUUCGGACCAAAGAUUUAUCGCCUUUGGAUGGGCCCGCGUUGGAUUAGCUAGUUGGUGGGGUAAAGGCCUACCAAGGCGACGAUCCAUAGCUGGUCUUAGAGGAUGAUCAGCCACACUGGGACUGAGACACGGCCCAGACUCCUACGGGAGGCAGCAGUGGGAAUAUUGGACAAUGGGCGAAGCCUGAUCCAGCAAUGCCGCGUGAGUGAUGAAGGCCUUAGGGUUGUAAAGCUCUUUUACCCGGGAUGAUAAUGACAGUACCGGGAGAAUAAGCUCCGGCUAACUCCGUGCCAGCAGCCGCGGUAAUACGGAGGGAGCUAGCGUUGUUCGGAAAUACUGGGCGUAAAGCGCACGUAGGCGGCGCAGCAAGUCA